This 156-nucleotide unclassified non-coding RNA is filed under the name uncultured Teichospora. Its description in RNAcentral is "sequence contains ITS2". The record is from RNAcentral. Lineage: Eukaryota; Fungi; Ascomycota; Dothideomycetes; Pleosporales; Teichosporaceae.
ACACCCUCAAGCUCUGCUUGGUGUUGGGCGUCUGUCCCCGCCUCCGUGCGCGGACUCGCCUCAAAGCGAUUGGCGGCUGGUACCACGGCCUGGAGUGCAGCAGAAUUGCGCUCCUUGUCUCGGGGUCUGGCUCCCAGAAGCGAACUUUUUUCACUU